AUUGAACGCUGGCGGCAUGCUUUACACAUGCAAGUCGAACGGGCUGGGGGCAACUCCAGUCAGUGGCGAACGGGUGAGUAAUACAUCGGAACGUACCUCGUAGUGGGGGAUAACUCGGCGAAAGCCGUGCUAAUACCGCAUAUGCUCUACGGAGGAAAGCAGGGGACCGCAAGGCCUUGUGCUAUGGGAGCGGCCGAUGUCCGAUUAGCUAGUUGGUGAGGUAAUGGCUCACCAAGGCGACGAUCGGUAGCUGGUCUGAGAGGAUGAUCAGCCACACUGGGACUGAGACACGGCCCAGACUCCUACGGGAGGCAGCAGUGGGGAAUUUUGGACAAUGGGGGCAACCCUGAUCCAGCCAUGCCGCGUG
This 367-nucleotide ribosomal RNA is filed under the name uncultured bacterium. Its description in RNAcentral is "bacterial SSU rRNA". It matches the Rfam family "Bacterial small subunit ribosomal RNA", at positions 30 to 403 of the family's 1533-position model. The record is from RNAcentral.